UGGCCCAGAUCGUUUACCGUGAAAAAAUUAGAGUGUUCAAAGCAGGCAGAUCCAAUUUUCUGCCACCGAAUACAUUAGCAUGGGAUAAUGGAAUAGGACCCUGUCCUCCUAUUUUCAGUUGGUUUUGGCAGCGCGAGGACUAGGGUAAUGAUUAAUAGGGAUAGUUGGGGGCAUUAAUAUUUAAUUGUCAGAGGUGAAAUUCUUGGAUUUAUGAAAGAUUAACUUCUGCGAAAGCAUCUGCCAAGGAUGUUUUCAUUAAUCAAGAACGAAAGUUAGGGGAUCGAAGACGAUCAGAUACCGUCGUAGUCUUAACCAUAAACGAUGCCGACCAGCGAUUAGGAGACGUUGAAUACAAAACACCACCAUCGGUGCGGUCGUCCUUGGCGUCGGUCUUUCGGGGCCGGCGCGGGGACGGCUUAGCCCGGUGGCACCGGUGAAUGACUCCCCUAGCAGCUUGUGAGA
RNAcentral lists this ribosomal RNA (462 nucleotides) under Acanthamoeba genotype T4. RNAcentral describes it as "SSU rRNA". It matches the Rfam family "Eukaryotic small subunit ribosomal RNA", at positions 739 to 1095 of the family's 1831-position model. The record is from RNAcentral. Lineage: Eukaryota; Discosea; Longamoebia; Acanthamoebidae.